Thalassophryne amazonica is the source of this 172-nucleotide long non-coding RNA. RefSeq lists it as uncharacterized. The record is from RefSeq and is a predicted model, not a curated record. Lineage: Eukaryota; Metazoa; Chordata; Actinopteri; Batrachoidiformes; Batrachoididae. The transcript has 3 exons.
GGUGGAAACACAAGCAGCUCAAGUACAACUGCGGUCACAACCACACCACCAGCAGGCGGCGGAAACACAAGCAGCUCAAGUACAACUGCAGUCACAACCACCCCACCAGCAGGCGGCGGAAACACAAGCAGCUCAAGUACAACUGCAGUCACAACCACCCCACCAGCAGGCA